This 402-nucleotide ribosomal RNA is filed under the name uncultured bacterium. Its description in RNAcentral is "bacterial SSU rRNA". It matches the Rfam family "Bacterial small subunit ribosomal RNA", at positions 356 to 773 of the family's 1533-position model. The record is from RNAcentral.
UAGGAAUUUUGCGCAAUGGACGAAAGUCUGACGCAGCAACGCCGCGUGAGGGAUGAAGGCCUUCGGGUUGUAAACCUCUUUUGAUGGGAACGAAUAAAUGACGGUACCCAUAGAAUAAGCACCGGCUAACCCUGUGCCAGCAGCCGCGGUAAUACAGGGGGUGCAAGCGUUAUUCGGAAUUACUGGGCGUAAAGAGCGUGUAGGCGGCUUACUAAGUUUGGUGUGAAAUCCCUGGUCUCAAGCCAGGAAGUGCACUGAAUACUGGUAGGCUAGAGUACAGGAGAGGUGAGCGGAAUUCCCGGUGUAGAGGUGAAAUUCGUAGAUAUCGGGAGGAAUAACAGUGGCGAAGGCGGCUCACUGGACUGUAACUGACGCUAAGGCGCGAAAGCGUGGGGAGCAAAC